Molecule: small RNA, 69 nt
Filed under: Bacillus sp. CECT 9360
Lineage: Bacteria; Bacillati; Bacillota; Bacilli; Caryophanales; Bacillaceae
Description: Bacillaceae-1
Rfam family: Bacillaceae-1 RNA
Source: RNAcentral
AAUAGAGGAACCUCGACUAAAACCUGCCACGUCGUUAUGUCUUGCGUCGAGGUCAGCACAUCCUGUGCA